RNAcentral lists this ribosomal RNA (408 nucleotides) under uncultured bacterium. Its description in RNAcentral is "bacterial SSU rRNA". It matches the Rfam family "Bacterial small subunit ribosomal RNA", at positions 28 to 439 of the family's 1533-position model. The record is from RNAcentral.
AUUGAACGCUGGCGGCAUGCUUUACACAUGCAAGUCGAACGGCAGCGGGGGCUUCGGCCUGCCGGCGAGUGGCGAACGGGUGAGUAAUGCAUCGGAACGUGCCCAUGUCGUGGGGGAUAACGUAGCGAAAGCUACGCUAAUACCGCAUACGUCCUGAGGGAGAAAGCGGGGGAUCUUUGGACCUCGCGCGAUUGGAGCGGCCGAUGUCGGAUUAGCUAGUAGGUGAGGUAAAGGCUCACCUAGGCGACGAUCCGUAGCGGGUCUGAGAGGAUGAUCCGCCACACUGGGACUGAGACACGGCCCAGACUCCUACGGGAGGCAGCAGUGGGGAAUUUUGGACAAUGGGGGCAACCCUGAUCCAGCCAUGCCGCGUGAGUGAUGAAGGCCUUGGUCGUAAGACUCUGUGGG